RNAcentral lists this long non-coding RNA (867 nucleotides) under Struthio camelus australis. Its description in RNAcentral is "lncRNA (ENSSCUG00000015352.1)". The record is from RNAcentral. Lineage: Eukaryota; Metazoa; Chordata; Aves; Struthioniformes; Struthionidae.
UGCAGUUAUUGUGGGUUGAUAUUUCUUUUACAUUCACUUUUGUGUGCUUAGAUGUACUAUGCAUGAUAUAUGGAUACUUGAGGCGUCAGUGCUUGCAGAUAUGGUGUUUUGAAGAUUUUGGUAUCCCACCUCAUUCUUAAAAUGAAAAAAUUGAGCAAUAUUCUGCUUUCAUAGCAGAAAACAUGGCAAAAGUUACCAGGAGCUCCAUACCCUCAAGCUACAGGACAUAACUGAUGUUAGUUCUAACAGUAGUAUUUUCCAUUUGAUAUAGCAUGAGCGCAUAUUAUUUUUCACUUGUUUGUUAGCACCACUUUAACACUACAUUCUCAAUAUGAACAUCCUUCUUUUGGAAACUUGUUUUGGCAAAAAUAGUUAAGACUCCAGAGGAAAAUGGUAACAGUGUUUGAGAAGAUAUUUUGAUUCAUCUUUAUGAGCUGACUAGAGACUAGGGGUGUUCCAGUUGCUCCCCCACCACCAGCCAUCUCCAGCUGGGUGCAGAAUGACAGCAUAUUCAGCUGCAGAGAGAAGGUGCUCCCACAGGCACCAAGUUUAAAGACGAAUUGUUCCUGCUCCGUCCCACUUUGACUCCAGUCGAUAGCAACAUCUCAUUCAAAAUCAGCAGCGCUGCAGAAAGUGAAGUGAGCAAUGCAGCAGAGGUGCUCCGCUCUGCAAGUGGCCCCCUUCCAAGUGACGCCAGCGGGCAGGGAAGGGACGCGACUGGCCACAUGCUGCAGUGUCGGCUGGCUUGCUGUACUCCGUAAGUACCAGGGCAGUGUCACAACUUUUACCCAAAGGAGUCCUGUUUUGCUUGUUGGGUUUCUUUCUGUUUAGCUUUCAUGAAACUACUAUCUUCUAAGCGAAGUCUAG